AAUGAUACACUCGUCUCAAAGAUUAAGCCAUGCAUGUCUAGUAUACAAAGUUUACUUUGAAACUGCGAACGGCUCAUUAACCAGUUAUAGUUUAUUUGAUAUUUUUCUCUACUGGGAUAACCGUAGUAAUUCUAGAGCUAAUACCUGCGCAACGUCCCGACUUUACAGAAGGGAUGCGUUUAUUAGAUCGAAACCAACACGGGGCAACCCGCUUUAAGGUGAUUCACAAUAAGCAAGCAAAUCGCACGGCGCAAGCCAGGCGAUGAGUCAUUCAAGUUUCUGCCCUAUCAGCUGCGAUGGUACGGUAUUGGCCUACCAUGGCUUUGACGGGUAACGGAGAAUUAGGGUUCGAUGCCGGAGAGGGAGCCUGAGAAACGGCUACCACAUCCAAGGAAGGCAGCAGGCGCGAAAAUUACCCAAUCCCAACUCGGGGAGGUAGUGACAAGAAAUACUUUGGCGGAGCCCUUUGGGUUCUGCCGUGGAAUGAGCACAAUUUAAAUCCCUUAGCGAGGAUCCAU
RNAcentral lists this ribosomal RNA (518 nucleotides) under uncultured eukaryote. RNAcentral describes it as "bacterial SSU rRNA". It matches the Rfam family "Eukaryotic small subunit ribosomal RNA", at positions 26 to 548 of the family's 1831-position model. The record is from RNAcentral.